This is a long non-coding RNA of Eucalyptus grandis, 462 nucleotides long. RefSeq lists it as uncharacterized. The transcript has 3 exons. Lineage: Eukaryota; Viridiplantae; Streptophyta; Magnoliopsida; Myrtales; Myrtaceae. The record is from RefSeq and is a predicted model, not a curated record.
CCAUCUUUCCAAGGACCAAAUUUUGGCCAAUAGAAGUUUAAGAAUGUGCCAGGACCUUUCUCACUUGAAUGGAAUUGCUGCCACAGUAAAUUAUGUUUUCCAGUCGGUUGGCUGCUCUUCAAUCACAAGGGAAGAGCUCGUGCACAAGAUAAUAAUGAAUAACUUUGAAGUUCUUGAGAGAAAGGAGGUUGAAGAGCAGAUCGAUUUUCUUGGGAAAUUGUUUCCUGAUUGGUUCUGCCGAAGAUCAACACAUAGCGGAGAUAUUAUAUAUAGCAUUAGGGAGGGGACAAGCCUUGAGUCAAUUACGUCAAGGCUCAUUAGUAGUUGACAAUGUUGGGAAGCUACUGCAACUUACAGCAGGUAUUUCGUUUUGUUGCAAAUUAGACUAGGAGGAGAAAGUGCCAUGAGGUUCAGUUGACAUUGCUUGCAUCUCCAAUAUAUACUCAAGGUUGUACUGUUUAA